Molecule: long non-coding RNA, 1173 nt
Organism: Zea mays
Lineage: Eukaryota; Viridiplantae; Streptophyta; Magnoliopsida; Poales; Poaceae
Exons: 2
Source: RefSeq, a predicted model, not a curated record
UAACCGACUUACUCAAAAAAAAAAAAAACUAUACCGUACAAGUAGCAAUAGCAGAAUUAUCAGGAGUUGUGACAGGAGGCCGGCAGCCGUGGCCUCACCUGAAGGCUGAGUUGCUCCUGCCGCGUGUCUCCCCUGCAUCCGGCGGUGCCCGCGAACGUGCGCGUUGCAUCCGGGACGGGGAGCCACUGCAGCCACGCGCCAGCCGUGGGGAACACCACAGGCGAGCACCACAGGACACCCACCAGCGCGCUCGCCAUGCCGCAUGGACAUCGGCAUCCACUUCGCGUCGCCGAGAAUGCAUGCAUCGGUUGGGAGAGAGGCUAGUCACUUUCUCCCACUAAUACCACAUUUGCUUUUCCUGUUUUCUUGAAGGGAAAAAGAGUGGUGAGAUCAGCACAACUGAUAUAGCGUGACUAUGCCCCCAAGGUGUUUGCUCAAAUGCCAGUAAGGUCAGACACUAUCGUGAACGCAUUAGGUCUCUUGCUGCUACUGCUAUGGUAAACUUGAUCUUUUCUCAUUGCAUCCUUAUGGCCUCAACGAGUAUUUAUUUUUUUUGCAAUAGUGCCACAGUGCCACUGGUGUGGAGUACGCUGUAUUUUGCAAGGCCCUGAAAGUCUGCGUAUUUUAGUCUGCUUGAUAGGUUCUUUGAUACGCCGUGUAACUGGACAGUGCAGUACGUGCCCAGUCUCAGGAUGAGAAUAAAAAAAGGAGGAAUCAAGUUCAUCCUUGAACAUUGUCCGAGCUGCUAUUCUCAGGUUGGUGGUCUUCUUCUCCACCGAAGGUCCUAAAGUCAAAAAUACCUUCGGCAAAAUGAUACAAUAGCUUGUCGAAGCUACCUUCAGCCUCGGCUCAGCUCCUCAAGCCGAAGCUCAAUAGCUUUGGCCCAGACCUAGCAAAGAAGGAAAAGAACUAGAUAGACUUUAUUAGUUUUAAUUACUUGUAAACAAGUGUUUGGGGGCAUGGAUGUAAUCUUAUCCGGGCUACGUCCCAUGCCUAUAAAUAGAUGAACAGUGCCCUGUACUGUUAAGGCUGGAUUGCAAUCGUGCUCGAGUCAUUCUCGCUCUUUCACCUUCCGGCAAGCCGAAUGUACCAUUGUAAUAUGAAUAUUAUUAAAGUUUAUUCAUGUUUAAUGAAGAUAAAUAAAUCAUAAAUAUAUGACGGAUAUUAUCUUGA